This 447-nucleotide ribosomal RNA is filed under the name uncultured bacterium. RNAcentral describes it as "SSU rRNA". It matches the Rfam family "Bacterial small subunit ribosomal RNA", at positions 26 to 518 of the family's 1533-position model. The record is from RNAcentral.
AGAGCGAACGCUGGCGGCAGGCCUAAUACAUGCAAGUCGAACGGAUCCUUCGGGAUUAGUGGCGGACGGGUGAGUAACACGUGGGAACGUGCCCUUUGGUUCGGAACAACUCAGGGAAACUUGAGCUAAUACCGAAUGUGCCCUUCGGGGGAAAGAUUUAUCGCCAUUGGAGCGGCCCGCGUCUGAUUAGCUAGUUGGUGGGGUAAAGGCCCACCAAGGCGACGAUCAGUAGCUGGUCUGAGAGGAUGAUCAGCCACACUGGGACUGAGACACGGCCCAGACUCCUACGGGAGGCAGCAGUAGGGAAUCUUGCGCAAUGGGCGAAAGCCUGACGCAGCCAUGCCGCGUGAAUGAUGAAGGUCUUAGGAUUAUAAAAAUUCUUUCAGCGGGGACGAUAAUGACGGUACCCGCAGAAGAAGCCCCGGCUAACUUCGUGCCAGCAGCCGC